ACUUAAAUUGAAGAGUUUGAUCAUGGCUCAGAUUGAACGCUGGCGGCAGGCCUAACACAUGCAAGUCGAGCGGUAGCACAGAGAGCUUGCUCUCGGGUGACGAGCGGCGGACGGGUGAGUAAUGUCUGGGAAACUGCCUGAUGGAGGGGGAUAACUACUGGAAACGGUAGCUAAUACCGCAUAAUGUCGCAAGACCAAAGUGGGGGACCUUCGGGCCUCAUGCCAUCAGAUGUGCCCAGAUGGGAUUAGCUAGUAGGUGGGGUAACGGCUCACCUAGGCGACGAUCCCUAGCUGGUCUGAGAGGAUGACCAGCCACACUGGAACUGAGACACGGUCCAGACUCCUACGGGAGGCAGCAGUGGGGAAUAUUGCACAAUGGGCGCAAGCCUGAUGCAGCCAUGCCGCGUGUGUGAAGAAGGCCUUCGGGUUGUAAAGCACUUUCAGCGGGGAGGAAGGCGAUAAGGUUAAUAACCUUGUCGAUUGACGUUACCCGCAGAAGAAGCACCGGCUAACUCCGUGCCAGCAGCCGCGGUAAUACGGAGGGUGCAAGCGUUAAUCGGAAUUACUGGGCGUAAAGCGCACGCAGGCGGUCUGUCAAGUCGGAUGUGAAAUCCCCGGGCUCAACCUGGGAACUGCAUUCGAAACUGGCAGGCUAGAGUCUUGUAGAGGGGGGUAGAAUUCCAGGUGUAGCGGUGAAAUGCGUAGAGAUCUGGAGGAAUACCGGUGGCGAAGGCGGCCCCCUGGACAAAGACUGACGCUCAGGUGCGAAAGCGUGGGGAGCAAACAGGAUUAGAUACCCUGGUAGUCCACGCCGUAAACGAUGUCGAUUUGGAGGUUGUGCCCUUGAGGCGUGGCUUCCGGAGCUAACGCGUUAAAUCGACCGCCUGGGGAGUACGGCCGCAAGGUUAAAACUCAAAUGAAUUGACGGGGGCCCGCACAAGCGGUGGAGCAUGUGGUUUAAUUCGAUGCAACGCGAAGAACCUUACCUGGUCUUGACAUCCACAGAACUUUCCAGAGAUGGAUUGGUGCCUUCGGGAACUGUGAGACAGGUGCUGCAUGGCUGUCGUCAGCUCGUGUUGUGAAAUGUUGGGUUAAGUCCCGCAACGAGCGCAACCCUUAUCCUUUGUUGCCAGCGGUUCGGCCGGGAACUCAAAGGAGACUGCCAGUGAUAAACUGGAGGAAGGUGGGGAUGACGUCAAGUCAUCAUGGCCCUUACGACCAGGGCUACACACGUGCUACAAUGGCAUAUACAAAGAGAAGCGACCUCGCGAGAGCAAGCGGACCUCAUAAAGUAUGUCGUAGUCCGGAUUGGAGUCUGCAACUCGACUCCAUGAAGUCGGAAUCGCUAGUAAUCGUAGAUCAGAAUGCUACGGUGAAUACGUUCCCGGGCCUUGUACACACCGCCCGUCACACCAUGGGAGUGGGUUGCAAAAGAAGUAGGUAGCUUAACCUUCGGGAGGGCGCUUACCACUUUGUGAUUCAUGACUGGGGUGAAGUCGUAACAAGGUAACCGUAGGGGAACCUGCGGUUGGAUCACCUCCUUACCUUAAAGAA
This 1554-nucleotide ribosomal RNA is filed under the name Klebsiella pneumoniae. Its description in RNAcentral is "bacterial SSU rRNA". It matches the Rfam family "Bacterial small subunit ribosomal RNA". Lineage: Bacteria; Pseudomonadati; Pseudomonadota; Gammaproteobacteria; Enterobacterales; Enterobacteriaceae. The record is from RNAcentral.